AGGAUCUACAGUGACUACAAUAACCAAGUGCUACAAAAACGCUGUGACGAGGAAUCUGAACAACAGAGAUUUGAGGGAAACAAAACACUUUCGACGAAGGUCCUGCUGCUUGUCUUCAGCUUGGUACCAAUUAGAGCUUCACUGGAGGUGAAAAGGGCAGACACGGUUGCUGAGUGGCUGGUUGGAGAGUCCCUGAGAGAUUACCCAAGAAACUCAGUUGCGGCACGUGGUGGAGCAGCCUCUCAGGAGAUUUUUAGGGAUGCAAGAUGAAAGGAGCUAAACAUAACUAUAGGAAAUGGAGGCUGUUAUCAGCAUCUAGCUUAGGAUGGCGAGCCAAGCAUGGCUCUCAGGUGCAACUCACAUGGAGACGUGGCUCUCAGGUAAAAGAUACAACUCAGGUACAAAAAUGGAGUUCUAAGUAUAGUAACAAUUUAGUUACAUAGUUACUUCCAUUUCCAGAGAUGUGAUCCUUUGCUGUGUA
This 481-nucleotide long non-coding RNA is filed under the name Homo sapiens (human). RNAcentral's name for it is "non-protein coding LINC00378:4". The record is from RNAcentral. Lineage: Eukaryota; Metazoa; Chordata; Mammalia; Primates; Hominidae.